Molecule: ribosomal RNA, 110 nt
Filed under: Candidatus Dadabacteria bacterium
Lineage: Bacteria; Pseudomonadati; Thermodesulfobacteriota; Candidatus Dadabacteria
Source: RNAcentral
CUUGGCGACUAUAGCAGAGGGGAAACACCCGUUCCCAUUCCGAACACGGUCGUUAAGCCCUCUAGCGCCGAUGAUACUGAUACUUUCGGGAAAGUAGGUCAUUGCCAAGA